This is a non-coding RNA of Ciona savignyi (Pacific transparent sea squirt), 73 nucleotides long. The record is from Rfam. Lineage: Eukaryota; Metazoa; Chordata; Ascidiacea; Phlebobranchia; Cionidae.
UCCCAGGUGGUCUAGUGGUUAGGAUUCCUGGGCUCUCACCCACGCGGCCCGGGAUCGAUUCCCGGUCUGGGAA